UGGGGAAUUUUGGACAAUGGGCGAAAGCCUGAUCCGGCAAUGCCGCGUGCAGGACGAAGGCCUUCGGGUCGUAAACCUCUGUCACCGGGGAAGAAACACUGCAUAUUAAUCGUAUGCAGUCUGACUUAACCCGGAGAGGAAGCAGUGGCUAACUCUGUGCCAGCAGCCGCGGUAAUACAGAGACUGCAAGCGUUAUUCGGAUUCACUGGGCGUAAAGGGUGCGCAGGCGGUCGUGUGUGUCAGGUGUGAAAUCCCGGAGCUUAACUCCGGAACUGCGUCUGAAACUACACGACUAGAGCAUUGGAGAGGGAAGUGGAAUUCAUGGUGUAGCAGUGAAAUGCGUAGAUAUCAUGAGGAACACCAGAGGCGAAGGCGACUUCCUGGACAAUUGCUGACGCUCAGGCACGAAAGCAUGGGGAGCAAAAGGG
RNAcentral lists this ribosomal RNA (428 nucleotides) under uncultured bacterium. RNAcentral's name for it is "bacterial SSU rRNA". It matches the Rfam family "Bacterial small subunit ribosomal RNA", at positions 355 to 776 of the family's 1533-position model. The record is from RNAcentral.